RNAcentral lists this long non-coding RNA (212 nucleotides) under Elaeis guineensis (African oil palm). Its description in RNAcentral is "long non-coding RNA (EGUI_LNC013440)". Lineage: Eukaryota; Viridiplantae; Streptophyta; Magnoliopsida; Arecales; Arecaceae. The record is from RNAcentral.
GAAAAGUCCAAGAGAAAAAAAAAUGAUGCUUAAGGGGAAGAAUAAAGGUGCCUUGGAGGGUCAAUUUUACAUCAAUAUGAUUUAAAGAACAAUAACUAAAUUGAAAAUUUUUCAAUAGUAAUGCAUAUUUCUAAUUGAUCUAAAUAGAUAAAACUUGUGCAUUUAAUUUGUAGUUAAAUCCCCUUCAUAGCAAUUGGCUUGUCCAAUGAAAA